RNAcentral lists this ribosomal RNA (504 nucleotides) under uncultured bacterium. RNAcentral's name for it is "bacterial SSU rRNA". It matches the Rfam family "Bacterial small subunit ribosomal RNA", at positions 37 to 507 of the family's 1533-position model. The record is from RNAcentral.
UGGCGGCGUGCCUAAUACAUGCAAGUCGAGCGCAGGAAACAAGUAGAUCCCUUCGGGGUGACGCUUGUGGAAUGAGCGGCGGACGGGCGAGUAACACGUGGGCAACCUACCUUGUAGACUGGGAUAACUCCGGGAAACCGGAGCUAAUACGGGAUGAUCAUUUGAAUCGCAUGAUUGAAAUGUAAAAGUGGGGAGUAAUCCUCACACUAUGAGAUGGGCCCGCGGCGCAUUAGCUAGUUGGUAAGGUAAUGGCUUACCAAGGCGACGAUGCGUAGCCGACCUGAGAGGGUGAUCGGCCACACUGGAACUGAGACACGGUCCAGACUCCUACGGGAGGCAGCAGUAGGGAAUCAUCCGCAAUGGGCGAAAGCCUGACGGUGCAACGCCGCGUGAACGAUGAAGGUUUUCGGAUCGUAAAGUUCUGUUAUGAGGGAAGAACAAGUGCCGUUCGAAUAGGGCGGCACCUUGACGGUACCUCACGAGAAAGCCCCGGCUAACUACGUG